This is a long non-coding RNA of Cervus elaphus (red deer), 432 nucleotides long. RefSeq lists it as uncharacterized. Lineage: Eukaryota; Metazoa; Chordata; Mammalia; Artiodactyla; Cervidae. The record is from RefSeq and is a predicted model, not a curated record. The transcript is spliced from 3 exons.
CUGCUUUUGGCACAGAGGUAGCUUCCUUCUCGUCUGUGGCACCUGCAGGAAACUGGGAGAGUCCCUUCCAGGAAGCACUAGAGAGGCAACCACUCCUGCCUCAGGGACCUAGCAGGGGAGCAGUCCAGACCGGCAAGGUGUCGGGAUGAGGAGCCCAGAGCUGAGAGUGAGGCUCCAUCGCUUCUGCUUGGCCGUGAUUAGUCAUGAUCCAGCUAUCUGGGGAUCUCACGAGAACCUUCCAGCUUGGGAAUCCAUCUGGUGAACAAGCCCUCCAUGUGAUUCUGCGGCUCACCUUGAGCCGGAGCCAACAAACUUGUGAGAUCUAAGUUCUCCAACCAGGGAUUGAACCCAUGACCCCUGAAGUGGAAGCAUGGAGUCUUAACCGUUGGUCUGCCAGCAAAGUCCCUACCCUUCUCUUCUUCCUAGCCCACA